GACGAACGCUGGCGGCGUGUUUAACACAUGCAAGUCGAACGGAAAGGCCCUGCUUGCAGGGUACUCGAGUGUCGCACGGGUGAGUAACACGCGGGUGAUCUGCGCUUCACUUCGGGAUAAGCCUGGUAAACUGGGUCUAAUACCGGACAGGAGCCAUCUGUAGGGUGAUGGUUGGAAAGUAUUUUCGGUGUAGGAUGAGCUCGCGCCCUACCAGCUUGUUGGUGGGGGAAUGGCCUACCAAGGCGGCGACGGGUAGCCGGCCUGGGAGGGUGGACGGCCACGUUGGGACUGGGAUACGGCCCAGACUCCUACGGGAGGGAGCAGUGGGGAAUGGUGCACAAUGGGCGCGAGCCUGAUGCAGCGACGCCGCGUGGGGGAUGACGGCCUUCGGGUUGGAAACGCCUUUCGCUAGGGACGAAGCUUUUUGUGACGGUACCUAGAUAAGAAGCACCGGCUAACUACGUG
RNAcentral lists this ribosomal RNA (465 nucleotides) under uncultured bacterium. RNAcentral describes it as "partial 16S ribosomal RNA". It matches the Rfam family "Bacterial small subunit ribosomal RNA", at positions 28 to 507 of the family's 1533-position model. The record is from RNAcentral.